This 65-nucleotide small RNA is filed under the name Mastigocoleus testarum BC008. RNAcentral describes it as "Cyanobacterial functional RNA 1". It matches the Rfam family "Cyanobacterial functional RNA 1". The record is from Rfam by way of RNAcentral. Lineage: Bacteria; Bacillati; Cyanobacteriota; Cyanophyceae; Nostocales; Hapalosiphonaceae. RNAcentral also lists the same sequence under 3 other names.
GCGGAGACGCAUGUUUCCGUUCACUCCUCACACCACACUCCGCCCGAACUACUGUUCGGGCGGUU